Molecule: long non-coding RNA, 267 nt
Filed under: Vigna radiata
Lineage: Eukaryota; Viridiplantae; Streptophyta; Magnoliopsida; Fabales; Fabaceae
Description: long non-coding RNA (VRAD_LNC006314)
Source: RNAcentral
AGACAUUAGUCAUGCAGUGAGAGUUGUUAGCAGGUUUACGUCAAAUCUAGGUAAAGUUCAUUGAAAACUGUUAAAUGAAUUUUAAGAUAUCUAACUAUAACAAAAUGUUUAUAUCUACCUAUAGCAAAAUGUCAUUAACUUGUCCUUUUAUUUCUUUUAAUACAUCUCUUUUAUUUCUAUUAUUUCCACUAAUAUUUGGAAGAUAUAACAUUGGUUUGAAGAAUUUCAAAAAGAAAGACGGAAUAAGUUGUAGAUUCAACUCUCCCA